GUAGGUGGCAAGCGUUGUCCGGAAUUAUAGGGCGUAAAGCGCGCGCAGGUGGUUCUUUAAGUCUGAUGUGAAAGCCCCCGGGCUCAACCGGGGAGGGUCAUUGGAAACUGGGGAACUUGAGUGCAGGAGAGGAAAGUGGAAUUCCACGUGUAGCGGUGAAAUGCGUAGAUAUGUGGAGGAACACCAGUGGCGAAGGCGACUUUCUGGCCUGUAACUGACACUGAGGCGCGAAAGCGUGGGGAGCAAACAGGAUUAGAUACCCUGGUAGUCCACGCCGUAAACGAUGAGUGCUAAGUGUUGGGGGGUUUCCGCCCCUCAGUGCUGCAGCUAACGCAUUAAGCACUCCGCCUGGGGAGUACGGUCGCAAGACUG
Molecule: ribosomal RNA, 372 nt
Filed under: uncultured organism
Description: partial 16S ribosomal RNA
Rfam family: Bacterial small subunit ribosomal RNA
Source: RNAcentral